RNAcentral lists this long non-coding RNA (428 nucleotides) under Equus caballus (horse). RNAcentral's name for it is "lncRNA (ENSECAG00000054787.1)". Lineage: Eukaryota; Metazoa; Chordata; Mammalia; Perissodactyla; Equidae. The record is from RNAcentral.
CAUGGGAGCUGCCUGCAGCCAUUUUGCCACUGGACAGAGAGACCCCACCUGAGAACGGUACCAAUGCAAGCAGAAUGGGACCAAGAGAGGCAGAGAGAACAUCCCUUCCUUUAUUCCUUCUGCAUCUAUUGGUUAAGCCCUACUCUGUGCAGUGCCUGUUCCUGGCCUGGGGAACAGCAGUGACCAAGAUGAAGUCCCCGUCCUCAGGAGUCAUCGACAUUCUAGCAUAAAUGUAAACAGGAGCCAGCAGUCACCCCCUAGACCAAAUCUGAGCUGGACUCUCUGCCACUGGCUCCUCCAGGCCCGAGGCAAUCUAUGUUGUUGGGUGAGCAAAUAGAAUACGAAUUACAAGGAGGAAGCAACUGAUCUGAGGAGAGAGAGAAGGGAUGGCUGGCCUCUCUUCCCGCCAUGUCUAGGCACUCAUCCGC